GUGAGCACCAUGGCCUGGACUCCUCUCCUCCUCGUGCUCCUCUCUCACUGCACAGGAUCCCUCCCCCAGCCUGUGCUGACUCAGCCGCCCUCAGUGUCUGGGAACCCAGGACAGAGGGUCACCAUCUCCUGCACUGGAAGCAGCUCCAACAUCGGGGGUUAUGAUGUGCAAUGGUUCCAACAGCUCCCAGGAACGGCCCCCAAAACCCUCAUCUCUGCUAAUAGCAAUCGAUACUCAGGGGUCCCUGACCGAUUCUCUGGCUCCGCGUCUGGCAGCUCAGCCACCCUGACCAUCAAUGGGCUCCAGGCUGAGGAUGAGGCCGAUUAUUACUGCCAGACCUAUGAUGACAAUCUCAAUGCUCGCACAGUGCUGCAGGCCUGUGGGGAAGUGAGACAAGAACCCCUGUGUCAUCUGGGAGCUGGGUGA
Phyllostomus hastatus (greater spear-nosed bat) is the source of this 426-nucleotide non-coding RNA. Lineage: Eukaryota; Metazoa; Chordata; Mammalia; Chiroptera; Phyllostomidae. The record is from the annotation of a RefSeq genome assembly.